This 115-nucleotide non-coding RNA is filed under the name Lactobacillus sp. RNAcentral's name for it is "FMN sequence". It matches the Rfam family "FMN riboswitch aptamer (RFN element)". From Rfam's summary of the family: The RFN element is a highly conserved domain that is found frequently in the 5'-untranslated regions of prokaryotic mRNAs that encode for flavin mononucleotide (FMN) biosynthesis and transport proteins. This element is a metabolite-dependent riboswitch that directly binds FMN in the absence of proteins. In Bacillus subtilis, the riboswitch most likely controls gene expression by causing premature transcription termination within the 5' untranslated region of the ribDEAHT operon and precluding access to the ribosome-binding site of ypaA mRNA. The record is from RNAcentral. Lineage: Bacteria; Bacillati; Bacillota; Bacilli; Lactobacillales; Lactobacillaceae.
UGUUGUCUUCAGGGCAGGGUGAAAUUCCCGACCGGCGGUGAAAGUCCGCGACCCACGUAUGUGGCUGAAUCUGUUAAGAUACCGAUAGUUAAAGUCUAGAUGAGAGAAGGCAGAC